This 254-nucleotide ribosomal RNA is filed under the name uncultured bacterium. Its description in RNAcentral is "partial 16S ribosomal RNA". It matches the Rfam family "Bacterial small subunit ribosomal RNA", at positions 524 to 776 of the family's 1533-position model. The record is from RNAcentral.
UACGGGGGGAGCAAGCGUUGUUCGGAUUUACUGGGCGUAAAGGGCGCGUAGGCGGCCACCGCAAGUCAAUUGUGAAAUCUCCGGGCUUAACUCGGAAAGGUCAACUGAUACUGCGGGGCUAGAGUGCGGAAGGGGCAACUGGAAUUCUCGGUGUAGCGGUGAAAUGCGUAGAUAUCGAGAGGAACACCAGUGGCGAAGGCGAGUCCCUGGACAGAUCCUGACGCUGAGGCACGAAAGCUAGGGGAGCAAACAGG